Vitis vinifera (wine grape) is the source of this 1477-nucleotide RNA transcript. It is a transcript of the gene named ATP-dependent Clp protease proteolytic subunit-related protein 4, chloroplastic, with no coding region annotated. The transcript is spliced from 9 exons. The record is from RefSeq and is a predicted model, not a curated record. NCBI's taxonomy places the organism in Eukaryota, Viridiplantae, Streptophyta, Magnoliopsida, Vitales, Vitaceae.
AAAACCAAACCCCAUCUCCAGCUUAUUUUACUCGCUUUCUCACGAAACCGAGCAGUGAGCAGAACGCACACAGCGAUGGGAGUAGCAACCAUGGCUUCGAAUCUCUUCACCCAUACGCGCAUGUUAGCACCGCCCACCAAUUCAGGCACUACCAGUUCAAACAGAACCCUAGCUUCCUUCUCUCUCAGAGCCAAUCUCCUCUCUCCGUACGUCGGCGGCAGCGUCGCCUCCGACUUCUCCGGACAGAAAAUCCGGCCUUCGUCCCUCUAUUCGGCGUCGUUUUCGGGUUCUCAUGCCAAGAGAGGUGGUGUCACCAUGGUCAUUCCUUUUACAAGGGGAAGUGCAUUGGACCAACCUCCUCCCGAUUUACCAUCUUACUUGUUCAAGAAUCGAAUUGUAUACUUGGGCAUGUCUCUUGUUCCUUCUGUCACUGAGUUGAUCCUAGCAGAAUUCCUUUACCUUCAGUAUGAUGAUGCUGAGAAGCCAAUUUAUCUGUACAUAAACUCCACUGGAACAACCAAGGGUGGGGAGAAGUUGGGUUAUGAGACAGAAGCUUUUGCAAUCUAUGAUGUUAUGGGGUAUGUUAAGUCACCGAUUUUUACUUUGUGUGUUGGUAAUGCUUGGGGAGAAGCAGCCUUACUUUUGGCUGCAGGUGCAAAGGGAAACCGUUCAGCUUUGCCUUCAUCAACAAUCAUGAUAAAGCAGCCAAUUGCAAGGUUUCAAGGUCAGGCGACAGAUAUUGACCUUGCAAGAAAAGAAGUGAAGAAUGUGAAGGCAGAGUUGGUUAAACUCUAUGCAAAACAUAUCGGAAAGUCACCUGAGGAAAUUGAAGCUGACAUCAGGCGCCCAAAAUAUUUUAGUCCUAGUGAAGCUGUUGAAUAUGGCAUUAUAGACAAGGUACUAUACAAUGAAAGGAGCUCUGAGGACCGGGGAGUUGUUGCUGACCUGAAAAAAGCUCAACUCAUUUGAUAGUUUGAAAUGAUGAUUGUAAUGAGUAUUCAGUAGGUUCUGGAGGAGAAAAGUGAUUGCUUGUUCUUUUCAUGGCUAUACCACCUGUAAUUCCAACUCUUAUCUCUGUCCCUCCAAAAACUUUGUCAAAGUGACACCUGGCAAAGUGUAGUAGGAGAAGUGGUGGAUGCAAAAUGCGAGGGUGACGAGCUCAUAACUGGAUCAAGAGCAAGUGCUGGAACUAUAAUUGAUGGAAGGGAGCCACAGCAUUAAUAGUAGACAGAAUUUUGUGGCACUUUUAGGGCAAUACAUGUAUUUUUGGGUGCGUUUGUCAUACUGUUAAAUCACUCUUCAGUUUUAUUUUACUCCAAUGAAAUGAUAGCCACAACAUUUAUUUGUCUUCCUAUACCAAGUUGUGCUUGUAGAUGCUUCGUUAGGUGUAUGGAACCAUGAAUCGUAUUUUAUCUUAUGAAAACCCAUAAAAGGAUGAACUCCACCCUGAUCAAAGAUGUCAUCUAUUGCAAUUCUA